Molecule: ribosomal RNA, 519 nt
Filed under: uncultured bacterium
Lineage: Bacteria
Description: bacterial SSU rRNA
Rfam family: Bacterial small subunit ribosomal RNA
Source: RNAcentral
GACGAACGCUGGCGGCGUGCCUAAUACAUGCAAGUCGAGCGGAGUUAUGAAGAAGCUUGCUUCAGAUUAACUUAGCGGCGGACGGGUGAGUAACACGUAGGCAACCUACCUCUUAGACUGGGAUAACUACCGGAAACGGUAGCUAAUACCGGAUAAUUCCUUAGCUCUCCUGAGCUUGGGAUGAAAGGCGGAGUAAUCUGCUACUUGGAGAUGGGCCUGCGGCGCAUUAGCUAGUUGGUGAGGUAAUGGCUCACCAAGGCGACGAUGCGUAGCCGACCUGAGAGGGUGAACGGCCACACUGGGACUGAGACACGGCCCAGACUCCUACGGGAGGCAGCAGUAGGGAAUCUUCCGCAAUGGGCGAAAGCCUGACGGAGCAACGCCGCGUGAGUGAUGAAGGUUUUCGGAUCGUAAAGCUCUGUUGCCAGGGAAGAACGUCCGGUAGAGUAACUGCUACCGGAGUGACGGUACCUGAGAAGAAAGCCCCGGCUAACUACGUGCCAGCAGCCGCAGUAAAAC